UUGAUUUCUUUGGCUAAGAUCAAGUGUAGGAUCUCUUCCUAUAGAUAUAAUAUCUGGUAUAUGUCCUCUAUUCCAGGAAAACAUAUUAAAUGGGUAUUUGGAGCAGGGAGAAAUAGAAGCUGGUUUGGUCCAUUAUGCAUUGAACUGGUAUUGCUACAUCUCCAGAAGAGACUGCAUGCUUA
Small nuclear RNA from Heterocephalus glaber (naked mole-rat), 182 nucleotides. Its record names the gene U2. It matches the Rfam family "U2 spliceosomal RNA". From Rfam's summary of the family: U2 is a small nuclear RNA (snRNA) component of the spliceosome (involved in pre-mRNA splicing). Complementary binding between U2 snRNA (in an area lying towards the 5' end but 3' to hairpin I) and the branchpoint sequence (BPS) of the intron results the bulging out of an unpaired adenosine, on the BPS, which initiates a nucleophilic attack at the intronic 5' splice site, thus starting the first of two transesterification reactions that mediate splicing. NCBI's taxonomy places the organism in Eukaryota, Metazoa, Chordata, Mammalia, Rodentia, Bathyergidae. The record is from Ensembl.